CCUACGGGAGGCAGCAGUGGGGAAUAUUGCACAAUGGGGGAAACCCUGAUGCAGCGACGCCGCGUGAGUGAAGAAGUAUUUCGGUACGUAAAGCUCUGUCAGCAGGGAAGAAAAUGACGGUACCUGACUAAGAAGCCCCUGAUAACUACGUGCCAGCAGCCACGGUAAUACGUAGGGGGAGAGCGUUAACCGGAUUUACUGGGUGUAAAGGUAGCGUAGACGGUAGGGCAAGUAAGGAGUGAAAUCCCAUGGCUUAACCAGGGAACUGCUUUGGAAACUGGGAAGCUGGAGUGCGGGAGAGGUAAGCGGAAUUCCUGGUGUAGGAGUGAAAGGCGUAGAUAUCAGGAGGAACAUCAGUGGCGAAGGCGACUAACUGGAACAUAACUGACGCUGAGGAGCGAAAGCGUGGGUAGCAAACAGGAUUAGAUACCCUGGUAGUC
This 440-nucleotide ribosomal RNA is filed under the name uncultured bacterium. Its description in RNAcentral is "partial 16S ribosomal RNA". It matches the Rfam family "Bacterial small subunit ribosomal RNA", at positions 338 to 795 of the family's 1533-position model. The record is from RNAcentral.